This 166-nucleotide ribosomal RNA is filed under the name Lachnospiraceae bacterium. RNAcentral's name for it is "partial 23S ribosomal RNA". It matches the Rfam family "Bacterial large subunit ribosomal RNA", at positions 2754 to 2925 of the family's 2925-position model. The record is from RNAcentral. Lineage: Bacteria; Bacillati; Bacillota; Clostridia; Lachnospirales; Lachnospiraceae.
CCCGGCAGGGAUAAACGCUGAAGGCAUCUAAGCGUGAAGCCCCCCUCAAGAUGAGAUAUCCGCCCAUUAGGGAAAGGCCCCUUCUAGACGAGGAGGUAGAUAGGCGGGAGGUGUAAGUGCAGCGAUGCAUGUGCUGGCCCGUACUAAUAGGCCGGAAGCUUGACCA